Molecule: ribosomal RNA, 1392 nt
Filed under: Bacillus sp. (in: firmicutes)
Lineage: Bacteria; Bacillati; Bacillota; Bacilli; Caryophanales; Bacillaceae
Description: bacterial SSU rRNA
Rfam family: Bacterial small subunit ribosomal RNA
Source: RNAcentral
AGCGGCGGACGGGUGAGUAACACGUGGGUAACCUGCCUGUAAGACUGGGAUAACUCCGGGAAACCGGAGCUAAUACCGGAUAGUUCCUUGAACCGCAUGGUUCAAGGAUGAAAGACGGUUUCGGCUGUCACUUACAGAUGGACCCGCGGCGCAUUAGCUAGUUGGUGAGGUAACGGCUCACCAAGGCGACGAUGCGUAGCCGACCUGAGAGGGUGAUCGGCCACACUGGGACUGAGACACGGCCCAGACUCCUACGGGAGGCAGCAGUAGGGAAUCUUCCGCAAUGGACGAAAGUCUGACGGAGCAACGCCGCGUGAGUGAUGAAGGUUUUCGGAUCGUAAAGCUCUGUUGUUAGGGAAGAACAAGUGCAAGAGUAACUGCUUGCACCUUGACGGUACCUAACCAGAAAGCCACGGCUAACUACGUGCCAGCAGCCGCGGUAAUACGUAGGUGGCAAGCGUUGUCCGGAAUUAUUGGGCGUAAAGGGCUCGCAGGCGGUUUCCUUAAGUCCUGAUGUGAAAGCCCCCGGCUCAACCGGGGAGGGUCAUUGGAAACUGGGAAACUUGAGUGCAGAAGAGGAGAGUGGAAUUCCACGUGUAGCGGUGAAAUGCGUAGAGAUGUGGAGGAACACCAGUGGCGGAAGGCGACUCUCUGGUCUGUAACUGACGCUGAGGAGCGAAAGCGUGGGGAGCGAACAGGAUUAGAUACCCUGGUAGUCCACGCCGUAAACGAUGAGUGCUAAGUGUUAGGGGGUUUCCGCCCCUUAGUGCUGCAGCUAACGCAUUAAGCACUCCGCCUGGGGAGUACGGUCGCAAGACUGAAACUCAAAGGAAUUGACGGGGGCCCGCACAAGCGGUGGAGCAUGUGGUUUAAUUCGAAGCAACGCGAAGAACCUUACCAGGUCUUGACAUCCUCUGACAACCCUAGAGAUAGGGCUUUCCCUUCGGGGACAGAGUGACAGGUGGUGCAUGGUUGUCGUCAGCUCGUGUCGUGAGAUGUUGGGUUAAGUCCCGCAACGAGCGCAACCCUUGAUCUUAGUUGCCAGCAUUCAGUUGGGCACUCUAAGGUGACUGCCGGUGACAAACCGGAGGAAGGUGGGGAUGACGUCAAAUCAUCAUGCCCCUUAUGACCUGGGCUACACACGUGCUACAAUGGACAGAACAAAGGGCUGCGAGACCGCAAGGUUUAGCCAAUCCCACAAAUCUGUUCUCAGUUCGGAUCGCAGUCUGCAACUCGACUGCGUGAAGCUGGAAUCGCUAGUAAUCGCGGAUCAGCAUGCCGCGGGUGAAUACGUUCCCGGGCCUUGUACACACCGCCCGUCACACCACGAGAGUUUGCAACACCCGAAGUCGGUGAGGUAACCUUUAUGGAGCCAGCCGCCGAAGGUGGGGC